RNAcentral lists this ribosomal RNA (230 nucleotides) under uncultured bacterium. RNAcentral describes it as "partial 16S ribosomal RNA". It matches the Rfam family "Bacterial small subunit ribosomal RNA", at positions 333 to 577 of the family's 1533-position model. The record is from RNAcentral.
GUGUCCCUACGGGAGGCAGCAGUGGGGGAUAUUGGACAAUGGGGGAAACCCUGAUCCAGCGACGCCGCGUGAGUGAAGAAGCAUUUCGGUAUGUAAAGCCCUGUCAGCAGGGAAGAAAGAAAUGACGGUACCUGACCAAGAAGCCCCGGCUAACUACGUGCCAGCAGCCGCGGUAAUACGUAGGGGGAAAGCGUUAUCCGGAAUUACUGGGUGUAAAGGGAGCGUAGACG